ACCGGAUGCCUACAAACAGUCGGAGCCCGCAAGGGUGACGGCGUACCUUUUGUAUAAUGGGUCAACGACUUAGUGUGACGAGCAAGCUUAAGCCGAUAGGUGAAGGCGCAGCGAAAGCGAGUCUGAACAGGGCGUUCAGUUCGUCGCAUUAGACCCGAAACCGAGUGAUCUAGCCAUGAGCAGGUUGAAGGUUGGGUAACACCAACUGGAGGACCGAACCCGCAUCUGUUGCAAUAGAUUGGGAUGACUUGUGGC
RNAcentral lists this ribosomal RNA (255 nucleotides) under Ensifer canadensis. Its description in RNAcentral is "partial 23S ribosomal RNA". It matches the Rfam family "Bacterial large subunit ribosomal RNA", at positions 555 to 815 of the family's 2925-position model. RNAcentral also lists the same sequence under 1 other name. Lineage: Bacteria; Pseudomonadati; Pseudomonadota; Alphaproteobacteria; Hyphomicrobiales; Rhizobiaceae. The record is from RNAcentral.